Molecule: transfer RNA, 64 nt
Filed under: Cavia porcellus (domestic guinea pig)
Lineage: Eukaryota; Metazoa; Chordata; Mammalia; Rodentia; Caviidae
Rfam family: tRNA
About the family: Transfer RNA (tRNA) molecules are approximately 80 nucleotides in length. Their secondary structure includes four short double-helical elements and three loops (D, anti-codon, and T loops).
Source: Rfam by way of RNAcentral
AGGGAUUUAGCUCAGCGGCAUAAGCGCCUGCCUGGCAAGCAUGAGGUUGUGAGUUCAAUCCCUG